This 512-nucleotide ribosomal RNA is filed under the name uncultured bacterium. RNAcentral describes it as "partial 16S ribosomal RNA". It matches the Rfam family "Bacterial small subunit ribosomal RNA", at positions 28 to 523 of the family's 1533-position model. The record is from RNAcentral.
GACGAACGCUGGCGGCGUGCCUAAUAAAUGCAAGUCGAGCGAACCAAUAGGAGCUUGCUCCUGUUGGUUAGCGGCGGACGGGUGAGUAACACGUGGGCAACCUGCCUGUAAGACUGGGAUAACACCGGGAAACCGGUGCUAAUACCGGAUAAUCUUUUUCCUCUCAUGAGGAAAAACUGAAAGUCGGUUUCGGCUGACACUUACAGAUGGGCCCGCGGCGCAUUAGCUAGUUGGUGAGGUAACGGCUCACCAAGGCGACGAUGCGUAGCCGGCCUGAGAGGGUGAUCGGCCACACUGGGACUGAGACACGGCCCAGACUCCUACGGGAGGCAGCAGUAGGGAAUCUUCCACAAUGGACGAAAGUCUGAUGGAGCAACGCCGCGUGAGCGAUGAAGGCCUUCGGGUCGUAAAGCUCUGUUGUUAGGGAAGAACAAGUACCGGAGUAACUGCCGGUGCCUUGACGGUACCUAACCAGAAAGCCACGGCUAACUACGUGCCAGCAGCCGCCGUAA